This 494-nucleotide ribosomal RNA is filed under the name uncultured bacterium. RNAcentral's name for it is "partial 16S ribosomal RNA". It matches the Rfam family "Bacterial small subunit ribosomal RNA", at positions 28 to 507 of the family's 1533-position model. The record is from RNAcentral.
GACGAACGCUGGCGGCGUGCUUAACACAUGCAAGUCGAACGGUGAAGCGCCUUCCUUUUUGGUGGGUGUGGAUGAGUGGCGAACGGGUGAGUAACACGUGAGUAACCUGCCCCCUUCUUCUGGAUAACCGCAUGAAAGUGUGGCUAAUACGGGAUAUUCUGGGUCUGUCGCAUGAUGGGUCUGGGAAAGAUAUUGUUUCGGUGGGGGAUGGGCUCGCGGCCUAUCAGCUUGUUGGUGGGGUGAUGGCCUACCAAGGCGGUGACGGGUAGCCGGCCUGAGAGGGUGGACGGUCACACUGGGACUGAGACACGGCCCAGACUCCUACGAGGGGCAGCAGUGGGGAAUAGUGCACAAUGGGCGCAAGCCUGAUGCAGCGACGCCGCGUGAGGGAUGGAGGCCUGCGGGUUGUGAACCUCUUUCGCCAGUGAAGCAGGCCUGCCUCGUUUGUGGGUGGGUUGACGGUAGCUGGAUAAGAAGCGCCGGCUAACUACGUG